Molecule: ribosomal RNA, 501 nt
Filed under: uncultured bacterium
Lineage: Bacteria
Description: partial 16S ribosomal RNA
Rfam family: Bacterial small subunit ribosomal RNA
Source: RNAcentral
AUUGAACGCUGGCGGCAGGCUUAACACAUGCAAGUCGAGCGGGGGAAGGUAGCUUGCUACCGGACCUAGCGGCGGACGGGUGAGUAAUGCUUAGGAAUCUGCCUAUUAGUGGGGGACAACAUCUCGAAAGGGAUGCUAAUACCGCAUACGUCCUACGGGAGAAAGCAGGGUAUCUUCGGACCUUGCGCUAAUAGAUGAGCCUAAGUCGGAUUAGCUAGUUGGUGGGGUAAAGGCCUACCAAGGCGACGAUCUGUUGCGGGUCUGAGAUGAUGAUCCGCCACACUGGGACUGAGACACGGCCCAGACUCCUACGGGAGGCAGCAGUGGGGAAUAUUGGACAAUGGGGGGAACCCUGAUCCAGCCAUGCCGCGUGUGUGAAGAAGGCCUUAUGGUUGUAAAGCACUUUAAGCGAGGAGGAGGCUACUUUAGUUAAUACCUAGAGAUAGUGGACGUUACUCGCAGAAUAAGCACCGGCUAACUCUGUGCCAGCCGCCGCCGUAA